This is a long non-coding RNA of Homo sapiens (human), 1699 nucleotides long. NCBI's taxonomy places the organism in Eukaryota, Metazoa, Chordata, Mammalia, Primates, Hominidae. The record is from Ensembl.
AGCACUUAAUACACAUUCAGCCUUCCCAUCAUGUCAUUGUACCUUGGAACAAGGAGCAAAUAAUUGGCUGUGGGAUCCCCACUAAGUUUUUGUUACACGACUUCCCUUCUCUGUAGAAUGGGCACACGAUGAGCGACCACCCUCUCGGAGACAAACCACUGAUGAAAGCGAGGUGUAAAGCUCCUUGUGGGCAAUCUGGGAAGGACAGAACUCCUGAGACCUUGAGCCCCACCACAAGAGCGCCCGGAAAUCGGUUCAUUUCCGAGCCCAGCACGUACGUGCCCGCGGGUUCCUCUGCCACGGCGUGGUUGGCCAGACUCUGCCAGGCCCGCUCGCAGGUCUCCAGCGCCGCCCGGAAGUCCAGGUGCACCACCAGGAGGUCGGCCGCCUCCUCCAGAAGGUCCACGGCCGGCGCCCGGGCCGGGACCGCGCGCACCGGCUCGCUGCUGCGCAGGGGUCCCCCGAGCCCCCUGAGGGGGGCUGCAGAGGUCGAAGAAUCGCUCUUCAUAACGAGUCCGGGUCCAAGGCCCAGGUCCUCAGACGUCGGAGUGACCGCCUCCCCAGAGGCUCCGGGAUAUCCCGAGUUGGCCUGGGCGAAGAGGGAGAGUCCUCAUCUCUUUGCCCACACCCCUUCCCGAGGUCGAUUCCCCGAGAAGGAAAAGGAAGGGGCCUAUCUGAGGCAAAAGCUGGGCUCGCCUGGAGGCUGGGGAAGCAGUUUACACGUCAGAUUUGCAGGAUUCUUGCAUCCCUGGAAUACCUGGCCCUAGCUUCUCCGGCCCCGCGACACGUGCAGGAACUGCCUCAGCUCCGGGCUCCUGGUUACGAUCAAAGACUCACCUCGCCUCCCGGCAGCGGGCGCGGACAUCUUUGCGCUCGCCCAGCCCCGCAGCCGCGCGGCGUCCCGGCGGCGCGGAGUACUCUAGGAGUUGUAGUUCCUCAGCUCUCGGCCCAUCGCCUUCUGUAAUGGAAGUAGGAGGCAGAGCGCGGACUACAACCCCCAGCACGCCGCGCCCCGGAAGCCGCCCCUGUGCCGUGAGAAAACAAACUGGUGCUACAGCUUCGGGGUGCGGAAGUCAAAACGAAGCAAAACCGAAGCUGUCUUGUGAAAUGGAGGGGUCCUCACUAACCAGUUCCAGCGGAGGCUAACGGAAGAAGUGCCAGCAAUGGAUGUGCAGCUACAUGCACGCUUUUAAUUCAGAGCUUCUGCGACGGUGGCGAUCAGGGGAUCUGUAAUGUAAUGUAAUGUCAAGGCUGACGCAGAGCUGAUCAAACAUUUUGGCAACCUUAGUCUUGAAUUGAUUCACACUUUCUCCGCGUUGCCUCCGGAGUUUGCUGUAGGGUAAUGAAUAUUGCCUGGUGAGGAUGAGGGACUUAGGGUGGAAACCUUCACAAGGACCACUGAGAAUAUGUUGGUCCCAAGGGCAAUGUUCCAAAAUGAAUAGUGACCCCACCGAGGCGGGGUUGGGGGCGCUGAGCAUAAGGGCCUCAUUUUUCUCACUGCUCUCUGCCCCAUCCUGAAUUUGCUGUUAAAAAACAACGUUAAAUGCAGAUACCAAUUCCACUUCCCCACUGUUGUCACUUCCGAUCUGUCUUUAUAUUUCUCCUUAUCAUUUAUCACCAUCUACAUACCAAUGUCUAUAUUUUACUUAUUUUUAUUGUCUAUUUCCUUCCACUAUGAUAUAAACUCACAAAGGCAGAC